UGGCAUUGGCAUAAAAACAAACAUGACAAUGAUGAACAGUCUAGUGGGCCCAAACUAGACUUAAACAUACAUGGUACCAUUGCAGAGGGGAGAGAACAAACAGAAAUUUGACCUGUAUCUUAAACUCUAUGUAAACAAUUUUUUUUUUUAUCUUCAGGUGGAUUACAACGAGAAGCAAAAGAAAAAAAAAUGGAAAAAGAAGAUUCUAGGUGAUAAAUGAACGUCUUCAUUACUUUAGGCACCAGAGUCACGGGAGUGAACAAGAGACAAGGUCCCCACACUCCAGUGGGAGACAGUGAACAAAUAAACACUGCGGAGGCCACAAAAUGCCUGGAAGGAAAUAAGGAUGGGAGCACGAUGGGUGAAGGAUGGCUGCUUUUUGAUGUAGCACCAUCUGGACGCCUCCUUGGAUAAGUUGCGUUAGGGUCUUCACAGCACCUCCUCGCCUGGAAGCUAUCCUGCUGAGCACACCGGUCCACACCAGUUGCCAAAUCACCCCUGGAAGGGAUCACAAAAAUGAAGUGAGCAAACUCCAGUUUCCACAGGAUGAUUUGCACAAAACCAGAGAAAGUACAUGGGUUCACCUUGCACAAAAGAAAACACUGCUAAGUGCAGGGUUUUUUAAAAAAACAACUUUAUGGCUGGGCAUGGCGGCCCACGCUGUAAUCCCAGCACUUUGAGAGCCUGAAGUGGGCAGAUCACCUGAGGUCAGGAGUUUGAGAUCAUCCUGGCCAACAUGGUGAAACUCCGUCUCUACUGAAAAUACAGAAAUUAGCGGGGCAUGGUGGCAGGUGCCUGUAAUCCCAGGUGCUUGGGAGGCUGAGGCAGGAGAAUCGCUUGAAUCCAGGAGGCGGAGGUUGCAGUGAGCUGAGAUUGUGCCAUUGCACUGGGAGAGGGAGACUCCAUCUCAAAAAAAUGAAUAAAAAAUAAAAAUAACUUUAUCGAGCUAUAAUUGAGAUGCAGUAAAAUUCCCUAAUUUGAAGUGUAAGCAUUGAGUUUUGACAAAUUCAUGCCGCCAUGUACCCACCACUACAAUGUAUGUAUAGAACAUUUUCAUUACCUCAAAAACCCAAGUAAGAAUUAGAAAAUAUUCUUCCCCACUCUGACCCACUGCUGUGGGCUAUUUUCGUGCAAUGUGUCUGUGUCUUGCCGGGUGCAGUGUACACAUAAUGGAACCUGAGGCCAGCCGGCUGCCGAAGACUGAGUGCAGUGGUCAGCCUUCAUGAGAAUUCUGAAUCUCAACAGUGCAGAAAUGAAGGAUGUAUUUUAUCAUCUAGACCUUAAAUGGGUUAACUUAUUUCCUGAGCAGGAGUCUGGUUCAGGAAACCUCCCUGAUUGUAAAUGCUGAGAGAUAAUUUUUAUGAAAGGGCAUGUUUAUCCCGCUUGG
RNAcentral lists this long non-coding RNA (1387 nucleotides) under Callithrix jacchus (white-tufted-ear marmoset). RNAcentral describes it as "lncRNA (ENSCJAG00000064679.2)". Lineage: Eukaryota; Metazoa; Chordata; Mammalia; Primates; Cebidae. The record is from RNAcentral.